Molecule: long non-coding RNA, 579 nt
Organism: Oreochromis niloticus (Nile tilapia)
Lineage: Eukaryota; Metazoa; Chordata; Actinopteri; Cichliformes; Cichlidae
Exons: 3
Source: RefSeq, a predicted model, not a curated record
AGAAACAUGGUCUGAGUCCUACCUAACUAUAUAAAGAGUAACUGAAGGUUAAAUGCAGCUAACGUCCUGUUUUAAGCCAGACACUCAACCUCCGCUCCGCUGCGUCACAGCCGCCAUCGCUCUGGCUGAAGCACCCCAAAAAAUGGGCCAACAUCGCCCCUGCUGCCAGCACAAAUGAAGACGUCCGAUUUUGGAAGUAAAAGUCUCCGCCUGAUUGCUGCCAUCAAAAAGAAUCGUACUUCAACAGCUCCUGGAUGAGGUCUUCUGCUGCUCUCCUCGCUGAGUAACAGGAGGAGAAGAGUCUGGUGGUGCAGCAGAGCAACAAUUUCAGCCAUUUGGACUCAGCUCAGCCACUACAGAGGAAACAAUGACUUCAACACAAAAGGACCAACAUGGAGCGAGAAGUCAGCGCUCUCAGGAGGCCGACAAACCUCACAGAAGAAAGGGAAAGAAAACCUUCAGCUGUGAUGAGUGUGGGAAGGAUUUUACCCGGGUGGAAGGCCUAAAAGCUCACCAAGUCAUCCACAGUGGAGUUAAACCUUACAACUGUGACUUAUGUGGGAAGGAUUUUACCCGAGC